CAGUAGCCGCGGUAAUACAGAGGGUGCGAGCGUUAAUCGGAUUUACUGGGCGUAAAGCGUGCGUAGGCGGCUUCUUAAGUCGGAUGUGAAAUCCCUGAGCUUAACUUAGGAAUUGCAUUCGAUACUGGGAAGCUAGAGUAUGGGAGAGGAUGGUAGAAUUCCAGGUGUAGCGGUGAAAUGCGUAGAGAUCUGGAGGAAUACCGGUGGCGAAGGCGGCCCCCUGGACAAAGACUGACGCUCAUGCACGAAAGCGUGGGGAGCAAACAGGAUUAGAUACCCGUGUAGUCCCUGUCUCUUAUAC
Molecule: ribosomal RNA, 301 nt
Filed under: uncultured bacterium
Lineage: Bacteria
Description: partial 16S ribosomal RNA
Rfam family: Bacterial small subunit ribosomal RNA
Source: RNAcentral